AAAAAAAUCAUUAUUAUUUUGGGGGGACUUUUAUUUUGACGGGCGGAUUGGUUUUCGGCGUCGUGAGUCAGCGAGGAGAAGAAGAACGCGGUUGUAUGUGUGACGCACAGAAAAAGUGAGUGUUGUAUUUGAGAAGCUCGUCCGAUAAAGUGACUUAAAUGAAGGUUAAUCGGGGCUUAGAUCGAAUAAAGGACAACAUCAAGUAAUUUUUGUGAGCUGUGUCCCGCGUUUCGUAGGUUUUUUUUUGUGAGUUUUGAUCUGCGAAUCGCAUUGCGUUGGACUGCUGGAGUGACGCAGUAAUGUUUGUGAAGGCUACAAGAACUGUAAGUGUAUUUAAAGUACAAGUUUAGCUUGAUUAGUGACGAUUGAAGAGAUUUUAUUUUUUUUCUUCCUCCACAUUUUUGUUAAAGUUUUGGACUUCUUCCAUCUUGAUUGAGAAGCACUCGUACAAACUAACGAUCCAGGAAUUUUAGUGUUCGGCACGUGUUAUUGCACGUGAGAUGCAAAUUGCUGUCUGGAGUUGGUGCUGAACAUCGGGGGUUUUUUUCCAGAAGAUUUGAGUUUAAGACUAUUUUGUGUUACCCUGCCAUCCAACGACAUCUCAGUUUGACAUCUCAGUGGUGUAUCGCAGUUUAAUACAUCCCUGCUGGUUCAUUUCAUUUUUGAUUCACCUCAGUUUGAUUCAUUCGCAUUCGACUCAUUUUUGAUUAAUUUUUUUGUGGGACAUUUCAUUGAGCUUGAGUGACAUUGCUACAAAAUCUCAAGAUAAUUUCAACGCACGCUACGUCAAGACAACUCAUCUCAAUUCCUUAUUUUUUUUUAAAUAUUUUUGAUCCGAGGAACUUUGUACUGUGAGAGUUCGGUUGAAUCACAGAACCUAAAGUGAACUGAAGCUGUCAAGGAGUAGGGGCGUCUCAGCUACUUUAUUAGACCAGAGGAGGGAGGAAUAUAUUUGAUUUUCUCACACCUUUUACUUUUACUUCAGGAAGCCAGUGACAUAAGCUGAAGCCUACCCUCGUCGGUCUGUACAUUCCAAUAAAGUAGAACACAACAUACAUACAAUUAGUGUGUAAUGAGAUUAAAAGCACUGGAAGCGGGGACUAGGAUCUUUUCAUUAUUCAGUCUUCCGUGGCAGCACUAAUACAUUUUCCCCUACAAGACGGGUUAAAUACUCGUUACAUAUAC
Molecule: long non-coding RNA, 1185 nt
Organism: Cyprinus carpio carpio
Lineage: Eukaryota; Metazoa; Chordata; Actinopteri; Cypriniformes; Cyprinidae
Source: Ensembl